Molecule: ribosomal RNA, 466 nt
Filed under: uncultured bacterium
Lineage: Bacteria
Description: partial 16S ribosomal RNA
Rfam family: Bacterial small subunit ribosomal RNA
Source: RNAcentral
GACGAACGCUGGCGGCGCGCCUAACACAUGCAAGUCGAACGAGCGAGAGAGAGCUUGCUUUCUCAAGCGAGUGGCGAACGGGUGAGUAACGCGUGAGGAACCUGCCUCAAAGAGGGGGACAACAGUUGGAAGCGACUGCUAAUACCGCAUAAGCCCACAGGUCGGCAUCGACCAGAGGGAAAAGGAGCAAUCCGCUUUGAGAUGGCCUCGCGUCCGAUUAGCUAGUUGGUGAGGUAACGGCCCACCAAGGCAACGAUCGGUAGCCGGACUGAGAGGUUGAACGGCCACAUUGGGACUGAGACACGGCCCAGACUCCUACGGGAGGCAGCAGUGGGGAAUAUUGCACAAUGGGGGAAACCCUGAUGCAGCGACGCCGCGUGGAGGAAGAAGGUCUUCGGAUUGUAAACUCCUGUUGUUGAGGAAGAUAAUGACGGUACUCAACAAGGAAGUGACGGCUAACUACGUG